Molecule: ribosomal RNA, 645 nt
Filed under: uncultured bacterium
Lineage: Bacteria
Description: bacterial SSU rRNA
Rfam family: Bacterial small subunit ribosomal RNA
Source: RNAcentral
CUCCUACGGGAGGCAGCAGUGGGGAAUAUUGGACAAUGGGGGCAACCCUGAUCCAGCAAUGCCGCGUGUGUGAAGAAGGCCUUCGGGUUGUAAAGCACUUUUAUCCGGAACGAAACGUGCGGGGUGAAUAGCCUCGUAAACUGACGGUACCGGAGGAAUAAGCACCGGCUAACUUCGUGCCAGCAGCCGCGGUAAUACGAAGGGUGCAAGCGUUACUCGGAAUUACUGGGCGUAAAGGGUGCGUAGGUGGUUUUUUAAGUCUGCUGUGAAAUCCCCGGGCUCAACCUGGGAAUGGCAGUGGAUACUGGAAAGCUGGAGUGCGGUAGAGGGUAGUGGAAUUCCCGGUGUAGCAGUGAAAUGCGUAGAGAUCGGGAGGAACACCAGUGGCGAAGGCGGCUACCUGGACCAGCACUGACACUGAGGCACGAAAGCGUGGGGAGCAAACAGGAUUAGAUACCCUGGUAGUCCACGCCCUAAACGAUGCGAACUGGAUGUUGGGUGCAACUUGGCACUCAGUAUCGAAGCUAACGCGUUAAGUUCGCCGCCUGGGGAGUACGGUCGCAAGACUGAAACUCAAAGGAAUUGACGGGGGCCCGCACAAGCGGUGGAGUAUGUGGUUUAAUUCGAUGCAACGCGAAGAACCUU